Molecule: ribosomal RNA, 439 nt
Filed under: uncultured bacterium
Lineage: Bacteria
Description: partial 16S ribosomal RNA
Rfam family: Bacterial small subunit ribosomal RNA
Source: RNAcentral
CUACGGGGUGCUGCAGUGAGGAAUAUUGGACGAUGGGGGAAACCCUGAUCCAGCAAUGCCGCGUGAAUGAAGAAGGCCUUAGGGUUGUAAAGUUCUUUCACUCGUGAAGAUUAUGACGGUAACGAGAGAAGAAGCCCCGGCUAACUCUGUGCCAGCAGCCGCGGUAAGACAGAGGGGGCUAGCGUUGUUCGGAAUAACUGGGCGUAAAGGGUGCGUAGGCGGUUGUUUAAGUAAAGUGUAAAAGCCCUGGGCUUAACCCAGGAAUCGCAUUUUAAACUGGACAGCUAGAGUGUGGUAGAGGAAAGUGGAAUUCCUAGUGUAGAGGUGAAAUUCGUAGAUAUUAGGAGGAACACCAGAGGCGAAGGCGGCUUUCUGGACCAUUACUGACGCUGAGGCACGGAAGCGUGGGGAGCAAACAGGAUUAGAUACCCGAGUAGUC